This 982-nucleotide small RNA is filed under the name Histoplasma ohiense. RNAcentral's name for it is "hypothetical lncRNA". Lineage: Eukaryota; Fungi; Ascomycota; Eurotiomycetes; Onygenales; Ajellomycetaceae. The record is from RNAcentral.
GCCCGCUCAUCACCAUUUCAUAUAGUUAGCUGUUGUUGUUGUUGUUGUUCUUCAUAUUUUUUCUAAGGCCAUAUGCAGUCUGAGACUAUGACAGCCUUCACCUCACUAGCCUACCCUUAUGUUCGGCUACUCUCUAGUUACAUUUCUCUAUCCAUAACUGAGUCAUCCUUGAUGGAGAGACUUCACUAUACCAUUCUGGAUCUAGCCCUCAAGGGGGGCCUUGCCCCACAAUUGCUCACGCAAUACUAAGCAGUCCCUUGUCACUCAGACUAGACAUGUAAGAAUCACAACACCUUAGGAUCCCACACUAUACUGAAUCCAUCUAGACUAUAUACAUAGUGUUGAACAUUGCUCCACCCUGCAGUGGCAGUUACCAAUAGAAAUGAGAUAAGAAAGGGUACCCCUAAUAUCCACCAAGAUGUGAUAAUAUCCUUUUGGAGAAGGUGGGAUUCGAACCCACUACCUUCUUGUCUCAGCAGUGGUGGCCCCAACACCAAGUGCCUACUUGAGAAAGUAUUCCAUGAACAGCGCUUACCACUACGCCAUCCACCCCCCCUCAUAUAGUUAGCGAAUUACGAAGCGAGUACCAUAGAGUCUAAUCCCACACAUAUGUCCAGUGUCAGACAUCAUCGUUGUUUAGCGCUCACCCCGUUUGUUUAAAUUCAAGUUCUUCUUGGGUUCAACGGGUCUUCUGUGAAUGACCCAGUCCUAUACGCGAUAGUUAUUCGUUGCGGAGUUCAUAUUAACCUACACACAAAAACUGAUUCCCCCUUCUUGCGGAGAUAUGGUAAUUUCACUUCUGUAACGUAUUUCACCACGAACUUGUGAUGUGAUAUAAAAACUCUAUUUAAUAGCUUGCUUAGCUUCACCAUAUAUAGGUUACUGGUCACAGACACCAAUGUCAAAGGUGUUGUACACAGGCUCUGUACAACUGGAGUACGGAAGAAAGACAAGAAAAGAAAGAAAAGAAAAAAGAUUGUAC